RNAcentral lists this ribosomal RNA (280 nucleotides) under Campylobacter coli. RNAcentral's name for it is "partial 16S ribosomal RNA". It matches the Rfam family "Bacterial small subunit ribosomal RNA", at positions 309 to 605 of the family's 1533-position model. Lineage: Bacteria; Pseudomonadati; Campylobacterota; Epsilonproteobacteria; Campylobacterales; Campylobacteraceae. The record is from RNAcentral.
CACACUGGAACUGAGACACGGUCCAGACUCCUACGGGAGGCAGCAGUAGGGAAUAUUGCGCAUUGGGGGAAACCCUGACGCAGCAACGCCGCGUGGAGGAUGACACUUUUCGGAGCGUAAACUCCUUUUCUUAGGGAAGCAUUCUGACGGUACCUAAGGAAUAAGCACCGGCUAACUCCGUGCCAGCAGCCGCGGUAAUACGGAGGGUGCCAGCGUUACUCGGAAUCCCUGGGCGUAAAGGGCGCGUAGGGGGAGGAGCUAGUCUCUUGUGCAAGCUACU